This 84-nucleotide transfer RNA is filed under the name Gammaproteobacteria bacterium. RNAcentral describes it as "tRNA-Leu". It matches the Rfam family "tRNA". From Rfam's summary of the family: Transfer RNA (tRNA) molecules are approximately 80 nucleotides in length. Their secondary structure includes four short double-helical elements and three loops (D, anti-codon, and T loops). Lineage: Bacteria; Pseudomonadati; Pseudomonadota; Gammaproteobacteria. RNAcentral also lists the same sequence under 1 other name. The record is from RNAcentral.
GCCGAAGUGGUGGAAUUGGUAGACACGCUGUCUUGAGGGGGCAGUGUCCCAUUGGACGUGCCGGUUCGACUCCGGCCUUCGGCA